This 72-nucleotide transfer RNA is filed under the name archaeon. RNAcentral describes it as "tRNA-Cys". It matches the Rfam family "tRNA". Rfam says of the family: Transfer RNA (tRNA) molecules are approximately 80 nucleotides in length. The record is from RNAcentral. RNAcentral also lists the same sequence under 1 other name.
GCUGGGGUGGCAGAGAGGCUAUGCAUCCGCCUGCAGAGCGGAAGAUCGAGGGUUCGAUUCCCUCCCUCAGCU